ACCAAGGGUACGUAGGCAACUUGAAACUUCAAAACUUCAAGUACAGUCACAUCACCAACAAAAACACAAACACUUUGAAGAAAAAAAGCGAAUUCAAACUAUGAAUACUUUAUUUCUUUAAAGGAAUGAUUUGGUUACAAAGCCGUAUUACAAGGGUGAGCAUCACACCAACGUCACCACCGAGGAAAGUUGUGACCAAAAGACACUACACAGCAUAAACUCGCUGCAGUCUUUUGCACAACCACACACGAUAAAAGUGACACUUUGGGACAAGCUUCAAGUAGCAGUGGUAAAGAGCCCACGACAAGCAGUAAGGUCAAUGUGCACAACAAAGUCACCGCCGAGGGAAAACCGUGACCAAAAGGCAUUACACAGCAAAAUCCCGCUGCAGUCUUUUGCACAACACCACAUGGUAAAAAGUGGCGCACUGCAACAAGCACCAGGCAAAGAGUACAGUUGCACCCACAUCUUGCUCACUCCGUCACCAAUUCCAAAUUCACAAGAAGCUGCCACCAAUUGUGAACAUGGGUAAUCCGUCAAAAGGCAGCAAGGAAAUUUGUGAAUGCACUUUUUGCAGAGGAAGAGAAAGAAGACUUGGCUUUUCUUAUUUUCACAAAAGCAAAGAAAAAGGUGAAAGUUCCACCAUCGCAGCCAUCAGAAGACACGGCUACUGCAGCAAUCACUACCGCCAGUGUUAACCUCCCCAGGGACAAUGCAGCAGUUCCUCCACUUCAGGUUUGACACCUUGCACUACCUCGAGCUCGUCAUUCUGGCCACCAUGAUCAAAAUCAACGAAGAGCUUCAUUGACCGCUGUCAAACGACUAGCCGGUCUUCAAACUCGACGCCUUACACUCUGCC
Long non-coding RNA from Pyrus x bretschneideri (Chinese white pear), 859 nucleotides. RefSeq lists it as uncharacterized. The record is from RefSeq and is a predicted model, not a curated record. The transcript has 2 exons. NCBI's taxonomy places the organism in Eukaryota, Viridiplantae, Streptophyta, Magnoliopsida, Rosales, Rosaceae.